CAGUCGCCGCGGGAAUACGUAGGUGGCAAGCGUUGUCCGGAAUUAUUGGGCGUAAAGGGCUCGCAGGCGGUUUCUUAAGUCUGAUGUGAAAGCCCCCGGCUCAACCGGGGAGGGUCAUUGGAAACUGGGAAACUUGAGUGCAGAAGAGGAGAGUGGAAUUCCACGUGUAGCGGUGAAAUGCGUAGAGAUGUGGAGGAACACCAGUGGCGAAGGCGACUCUCUAGUCUGUAACUGACGCUGAGGAGCGAAAGCGUGGGGAGCGAACAGGAUUAGAUACCCCAGUAGUCCCUGUCUCUUAUAA
RNAcentral lists this ribosomal RNA (301 nucleotides) under uncultured bacterium. Its description in RNAcentral is "partial 16S ribosomal RNA". It matches the Rfam family "Bacterial small subunit ribosomal RNA", at positions 509 to 809 of the family's 1533-position model. The record is from RNAcentral.